Molecule: long non-coding RNA, 1321 nt
Organism: Esox lucius (northern pike)
Lineage: Eukaryota; Metazoa; Chordata; Actinopteri; Esociformes; Esocidae
Source: Ensembl
CUGUUUUAAAGAAAAACAAUAAUUUACCAGUAUUCUACUGAAUGAGGCUGUGGCAUUCUGGAUAAAUUGCAGGUGUUUGGUGGCCCACACCAGGAGCCCUACCAACAUUGAAUUGCAGUAAUCCAGACAUGAGGUGACAAGUGCCUGGAUUAGUACCUGUGACGUUUCCUGUGUGAGACUCCAUGUUCAAAUCAUCUCUGAGACAACAUGCCGAAGUCUGCCCUGCCAUCCUGCCAUGUGGAUUUGCACGUGGUUAAGUCUACAUGCAAGCAACAUGCACAGUUUGCUUGGCAAAUAGAACAGGUGGCCUGGACUUGGAUUAUAGUUACAUCCCACGGACAGUGGCUUCCACUUCUGCAGCCUGUCAAACCUGAGACUGGUGCGUUGUGUUGGAGGUGCCCCGAUCCACACUGGCACAAUGACUACUCCUGGGCCAGGGACAACCUGAGACCUAAGGAGACCAUAACUCACAAUGCCCUGGUCUGAUCACUCCUGACUGUCUCUCUUCCCAAUCCACCUGGUUGUGCUGCUGAUUCAGUUUCUGCUGUUCUGCAUGGGCUUUAGAACCUUGCAUGGGCAUGUAACCUCAAAGCACCUCUAAUUAGUAAUGAUGGUCUAGAUCCCCAACUUAUUAAAAUGUUAUUCAUUAUGAUCUAAAAGGCAAAACUGAUAUUAAUUCAGCAGUACUACUCUGAGAGACUUGGUGGGUUCUGGUCCUGUUCACCAGACUCCAUCUCUUCUUCUGACUGGACUCAACUUCUGAUCAGCUAUGUAAACCAAAGAACCUUUACUUGAGCUGUUGGCUUGUUGAACUGUCUGAAACCAUUGAUAAUGUGUGACCAUGCUUGUGAUCAAAUUUGAACAUCUUGAAGACCGAUCAAGACAUAAAUGGCCAUGUACUCUUAUAAUCUCCAUUUUGCACAACCAAAAAGGUACUUAGAACUGGCCACCACCCCUCAGAGCGUCGCUACGUUUCAUACUAAAUUCCUGCCUUUCUAGGGAGAUUUUCUUAAGUGGUUCCUAUUCAUUGCUUACUCUGUACAAUUUUAGGCUCAGGAGCUCUGUAAACACUGCAACGACUUCUUACGUAAAGAUGGUUUUAUAAAAUAAAUGUAAUUCUUUUAAAAUAAUUGUUGUAUUUUUGAGCUAUCAAUUAAUCCUUGGACAUUAUAUAAGGAGACUGGUUUAGACUGCAUUUACAUUAUAAAGUUAUCAAAACACUGUUUAGAAUAACAUACUGUUAAGUUAUGCAGUUGAGCUUUCCUCAUAUUACAUCACUUUGAUUGGUGCACUCCACACCUGCCAUCUGAUUGGAUUUCAU